CAAAAGUAGAAUUAAGACAUCCGGGAUAAAUGACUCAGCUGAGCUCAAUGAAGCCAAAACAUGUGCGUCCAGGAUUAAUUGGUUGCACAAAGACCAAGCCAGGAUGAGCAGACACGGAUUCAUUAAGCCAGGUGAAACCAAUCCUGGAUAGGUGCGCGCUCACGGCUCACUCAAAUAGACCCCGCCACAGAUCACAGAUUAACUGAUUUACCAUGGCAACUAGAGCCGCGUACUUUUCCCCGUCGGAAGCACAAAUCCUCAUGGAGGCAUACGAGGAGGUAAAAUAUAUAAUUAAGAAGAAAGGCAACACCGCCACAGUGAUAAAGCAAAGAGAAAAAGCGUGGCAAAGUAUUGCAGACCGCCUGAAUGCAUUAAACAUGAACGGGCCAAAACGGACAUGGCAGCAGGUCAAAAUCAAAUACAAGAACAUUCUGCAGAAUGCAGUGAAAAAGAAUACCCACAGACAAGGCACGGGUGGUGGGUCACCAAAGGCUGACCUUACCCCAGCAGAGGACAUGGCCUUGGAGCUAAAUAAAGGCAGGCCCGUCUUAGAGGGGAUCACUGGGGGGAAAGAGACGAGCAUAGGUUCCUCCCAAGAUGCCACCCGCUUCAUUCAAGUGUCUGGCAGCACUAUGUUCCUGUUAGAGCCACCAGCACAAGCACCAGACGAUGCUGAUCCAGGUGAAGGCCCCAGUGCAGCAGCAACAGCACAUGAUGGAGACGAUGAUGAUGAGGAGGAGACCAUCUCUCUGGAUUCCAGAAGGCAUGAGGUAUCAUGGAUCCAGAUGCUAUACAGUGGGAAAACCAGCCUGGCAACAUACUCCAAGAAGAUGACACAGCUCAAAAUAAAAAUUAGCAAUCAGUACAACCAAGUCAUCGUUAUAAGGCAUCGCCCUCUUUUGCCCACCCCCCCAGCACCAGGUGUGGCCACUAGCCUAUAUGAAGGCCCAAAAUUGUGUGUUCCUUUCUGCUCUGACAAUGGCAUGCCCAUUCGUGCGAGAUGUGGUGGAUGAAGAAGCACUUGUGCUGAGGAGAGCCUUCAGGCGAGAAAGGGUCUUCAGGGACCGGUUGGACCCACUGGCCUUCCCUGAUGACCAUCUAUAUGAAAGAUACAGGUUUUCUGCAGAUAGCAUCAGGUAUCUAUGCAGACUACUGGGUCCCAGGAUUAAGCACCGCACUGCACGGAGCCAUGCACUGAGUGUGGAGCAAAUGGUUUGUGUGGCCUUGCGCUUUUUUGCUAGUGGAGCCUUCCUGUACUCAGUGGGGGAUGCAGAACAGCUGAACAAGGCCACAAUUUGCCGCACAAUAAGGAGUGUGUGUCUGGCUAUCAAAGCAUUAGCAGAUGUCUUCAUCUCCUUCCCUGGCCACAGAAGACUCUGUGACAUCAAAGAGGAGUUCUAUAGGAUUGCAGAUGGUCUGCAAUGCUGACUAUGUGAUCAGCAAUGUUGUGGCAAAAUGGCCUGGCUCAGUCCAUGACUCCAGAAUCUUUCGGGCCUCUGAAAUCUAUCAGUGCCUAUCACAAGGUAAGCCACACAACCCCUAUUUAUAACCAUCAUGGCUGUGUCAAGAAUAUCACUGUGUUUAUGAGGUAGUAAUGAUGAGAUUUUGUGUUGACAGGUGAAUUCUCUGGUGUGUUGCUGGGAG
Oncorhynchus gorbuscha (pink salmon) is the source of this 1644-nucleotide RNA transcript. RefSeq lists it as uncharacterized. NCBI's taxonomy places the organism in Eukaryota, Metazoa, Chordata, Actinopteri, Salmoniformes, Salmonidae. The transcript has 9 exons. The record is from RefSeq and is a predicted model, not a curated record.